This 26-nucleotide non-coding RNA is filed under the name Mus musculus (house mouse). Lineage: Eukaryota; Metazoa; Chordata; Mammalia; Rodentia; Muridae. The record is from RNAcentral.
UAGGAGGAGAAACAGGACCGUGGUUG